AUGAACGCUGGCGGCAUGCCUAACACAUGCAAGUCGAUCGGUAAGGCUCUUCGGAGUACACGAGAGGCGGACGGCUGAGUAACGCGUAGGAACACACCCUGCAGUGAGGGAUAAGACACCGAAAGGUGUUCUAAUACCGCAUACGGUCUUCGGAUUAAAGCAUUUAUGCGCUGAAGGAGUGGCCUGCGUCAUAUUAGAUAGUUGGUGAGGUAAUGGCUCACCAAGUCGAUGAUGUGUAGCUGGUCUGAGAGGAUGAUCAGCCAGACUGGAACUGAGACACGGUCCAGACUCCUACGGGAGGCAGCAGUGAGGAAUAUUUCACAAUGAGCGAAAGCUUGACGGAGCAAUGCCGCGUGCAGGAUGAAGGCCCUCGGGUUGUAAACUGCUUUUAUAAGAGAAGAUUAUGACGGUAACUUAUGAAUAAGGGACGGCUAACUACGUG
This 442-nucleotide ribosomal RNA is filed under the name uncultured bacterium. RNAcentral's name for it is "partial 16S ribosomal RNA". It matches the Rfam family "Bacterial small subunit ribosomal RNA", at positions 29 to 507 of the family's 1533-position model. The record is from RNAcentral.